GACAAACGCUGGCGGCGUGCAUAAAACAUGCAAGUCGGACGAGCCAAUCCCCGCAAGGGGAAAGGCUAGUGGCGAACGGCUGAGUAACACGUAGGUGAUCUGCCCUGAAGUGGGGGAUAACGACUCGAAAGAGUCGCUAAUACCGCAUGUGACCAUCGAUUCGUUUUCGAUGCUCAAAGUCGUAAGACGCUUUUAGGAGGAGCCUGCGGCGGAUUAGCUAGUUGGUGAGGUAANGGCCCACCAAGGCUUCGAUCCGUAGCUGGUCUGAGAGGAUGACCAGCCAGACUGGGACUGAGACACGGCCCAGACUCCUACGGGAGGCAGCAGUUAGGAAUUUUGCGCAAUGGGGGAAACCCCUGACGCAGCCACGCCGCGUGCGGGAUGAAGGCCUC
Molecule: ribosomal RNA, 392 nt
Filed under: uncultured bacterium
Lineage: Bacteria
Description: bacterial SSU rRNA
Rfam family: Bacterial small subunit ribosomal RNA
Source: RNAcentral